UGGGGAAUAUUGCACAAUGGGCGAAAGCCUGAUGCAGCGACGCCACGUGAGGGAUGACGGCCUUCGGGUUGUAAACCUCUUUCAGUAGGGAAGAAGCGAAAGUGACGGUACCUGCAGAAGAAGCGCCGGCUAACUACGUGCCAGCAGCCGCGGUAAUACGUAGGGCGCAAGCGUUAUCCGGAAUUAUUGGGCGUAAAGAGCUCGUAGGCGGUUUGUCGCGUCUGCCGUGAAAGUCCGGGGCUCAACUCCGGAUCUGCGGUGGGUACGGGCAGACUAGAGUGAUGUAGGGGGAGACUGGAAUUCCUGGUGUAGCGGUGAAAUGCGCAGAUAUCAGGAGGAACACCGAUGGCGAAGGCAGGUCUCUGGGCAUUAACUGACGCUGAGGAGCGAAAGCAUGGGGAGCGAACAGGAUUAGAUACCCUGGUAGUCCAUGCCGUAAACGUUGGGCGCUAGGUGUGGGGAACCUUCCACGUUCUCCGUGCCGCAGCUAACG
RNAcentral lists this ribosomal RNA (493 nucleotides) under uncultured Actinomycetes bacterium. Its description in RNAcentral is "bacterial SSU rRNA". It matches the Rfam family "Bacterial small subunit ribosomal RNA", at positions 355 to 857 of the family's 1533-position model. The record is from RNAcentral. Lineage: Bacteria; Bacillati; Actinomycetota; Actinomycetes.